RNAcentral lists this ribosomal RNA (406 nucleotides) under uncultured bacterium. RNAcentral's name for it is "partial 16S ribosomal RNA". It matches the Rfam family "Bacterial small subunit ribosomal RNA", at positions 30 to 526 of the family's 1533-position model. The record is from RNAcentral.
AUCGAACGCUGGCGGCAGGCCUAACACAUGCAAGUCGAACGAGUGGCGGACGGGUGAGUAAUGCUUGGGAAACUGCCUGAUGGAGGGGGAUAACUACUGGAAACGGUAGCUAAUACCGCAUACCCUCAGAUGUGCCCAGAUGGGAUUAGCUGGUUGGUUGGGUAACGGCUCACCAAGGCGACGAUCCCUAGCUGGUCGGAGAGGAUGACCGGCCAAACUGGAACUGAGACACGGUCCAGAUUCCUACGGGAGGCAGCAGUGGGGAAUAUUGCACAAUGGGGGCAAGCUUGAUGCAGCCAGGCCGCGUGUAUGAAGAAGUCCUUCGGGUUGUAAAGUACGUUCAGCGGGGAGGCGUUACCCGCAGAAGAAGCACCGGCUAACUCCGUGCCAGCCGCCGCGGUAAUUC